CUUUAUGGGGUGACUGCGUACCUUUUGUAUAAUGGGUCAGCGACUUAUAUUCUGUAGCAAGGUUAACCGAAUAGGGGAGCCGAAGGGAAACCGAGUCUUAACUGGGCGUUAAGUUGCAGGGUAUAGACCCGAAACCCGGUGAUCUAGCCAUGGGCAGGUUGAAGGUUGGGUAACACUAACUGGAGGACCGAACCGACUAAUGUUGAAAAAUUAGCGGAUGACUUGUGGCUGGGGGUGAAAGGCCAAUCAAACCGGGAGAUAGCUGGUUCUCCCCGAAAGCUAUUUAGGUAGCGCCUCGUGAAUUCAUCUCCGGGGGUAGAGCACUGUUUCGGCAAGGGGGUCAUCCCGACUUACCAACCCGAUGCAAACUGCGAAUACCGGAGAAUGUUAUCACGGGAGACACACGGCGGGUGCUAACGUCCGUCGUGAAGAGGGAAACAACCCAGACCGCCAGCUAAGGUCCCAAAGUCAUGGUUAAGUGGGAAACGAUGUGGGAAGGCCCAGACAGCCAGGAUGUUGGCUUAGAAGCAGCCAUCAUUUAAAGAAAGCGUAAUAGCUCACUGGUCGAGUCGGCCUGCGCGGAAGAUGUAACGGGGCUAAACCAUGCACCGAAGCUGCGGCAGCGACACUAUGUGUUGUUGGGUAGGGGAGCGUUCUGUAAGCCUGUGAAGGUGGCCUGUGAGGGUUGCUGGAGGUAUCAGAAGUGCGAAUGCUGACAUAAGUAACGAUAAAGCGGGUGAAAAGCCCGCUCGCCGGAAGACCAAGGGUUCCUGUCCAACGUUAAUCGGGGCAGGGUGAGUCGACCCCUAAGGCGAGGCCGAAAGGCGUAGUCGAUGGGAAACAGGUUAAUAUUCCUGUACUUGGUGUUACUGCGAAGGGGGGACGGAGAAGGCUAUGUUGGCCGGGCGACGGUUGUCCCGGUUUAAGCGUGUAGGCUGGUUUUCCAGGCAAAUCCGGAAAACCAAGGCUGAGGCGUGAUGACGAGGCACUACGGUGCUGAAGCGACAAAUGCCCUGCUUCCAGGAAAAGCCUCUAAGCAUCAGGUAACAUCAAAUCGUACCCCAAACCGACACAGGUGGUCAGGUAGAGAAUACCAAGGCGCUUGAGAGAACUCGGGUGAAGGAACUAGGCAAAAUGGUGCCGUAACUUCGGGAGAAGGCACGCUGAUAUGUAGGUGAAGCGACUUGCUCGUGGAGCUGAAAUCAGUCGAAGAUACCAGCUGGCUGCAACUGUUUAUUAAAAACACAGCACUGUGCAAACACGAAAGUGGACGUAUACGGUGUGACGCCUGCCCGGUGCCGGAAGGUUAAUUGAUGGGGUUAGCGGUAACGCGAAGCUCUUGAUCGAAGCCCCGGUAAACGGCGGCCGUAACUAUAACGGUCCUAAGGUAGCGAAAUUCCUUGUCGGGUAAGUUCCGACCUGCACGAAUGGCGUAAUGAUGGCCAGGCUGUCUCCACCCGAGACUCAGUGAAAUUGAACUCGCUGUGAAGAUGCAGUGUACCCGCGGCAAGACGGAAAGACCCCGUGAACCUUUACUAUAGCUUGACACUGAACAUUGAGCCUUGAUGUGUAGGAUAGGUGGGAGGCUUUGAAGUGUGGACGCCAGUCUGCAUGGAGCCGACCUUGAAAUACCACCCUUUAAUGUUUGAUGUUCUAACGUUGGCCCGUAAUCCGGGUUGCGGACAGUGUCUGGUGGGUAGUUUGACUGGGGCGGUCUCCUCCUAAAGAGUAACGGAGGAGCACGAAGGUUGGCUAAUCCUGGUCGGACAUCAGGAGGUUAGUGCAAUGGCAUAAGCCAGCUUGACUGCGAGCGUGACGGCGCGAGCAGGUGCGAAAGCAGGUCAUAGUGAUCCGGUGGUUCUGAAUGGAAGGGCCAUCGCUCAACGGAUAAAAGGUACUCCGGGGAUAACAGGCUGAUACCGCCCAAGAGUUCAUAUCGACGGCGGUGUUUGGCACCUCGAUGUCGGCUCAUCACAUCCUGGGGCUGAAGUAGGUCCCAAGGGUAUGGCUGUUCGCCAUUUAAAGUGGUACGCGAGCUGGGUUUAGAACGUCGUGAGACAGUUCGGUCCCUAUCUGCCGUGGGCGCUGGAGAACUGAGGGGGGCUGCUCCUAGUACGAGAGGACCGGAGUGGACGCAUCACUGGUGUUCGGGUUGUCAUGCCAAUGGCACUGCCCGGUAGCUAAAUGCGGAAGAGAUAAGUGCUGAAAGCAUCUAAGCACGAAACUUGCCCCGAGAUGAGUUCUCCCUGAGACUUAGAGUCUCCUGAAGGAACGUUGAAGACGACGACGUUGAUAGGCCGGGUGUGUAAGCGCAGCGAUGCGUUGAGCUAACCGGUACUAAUGAACCGUGAGGCUUAACCUU
RNAcentral lists this ribosomal RNA (2362 nucleotides) under Escherichia coli. Its description in RNAcentral is "bacterial LSU rRNA". It matches the Rfam family "Bacterial large subunit ribosomal RNA", at positions 583 to 2925 of the family's 2925-position model. The record is from RNAcentral. Lineage: Bacteria; Pseudomonadati; Pseudomonadota; Gammaproteobacteria; Enterobacterales; Enterobacteriaceae.